GUUUCUCUAAGCUGUUCUCUAAGUUUUUUAAAAAGCUGUUCUCUAUGUUUCAAGUCUGAAUGUGCCCUCAUGGCUGUUCUCUGUGUUUCUCUGGCUGUUCUCUCUUCUCUCUGUUCUCUGUGCUUCUCUAAGCUGUUCUCUAUGUUUCUCUAUGCUGUUCUCUAUGUUUCUCUAAGCUGUACUCUAUGCUUCUCUUAGCUGUUCUCUAUGCUUCAUUAAGCUGUUCUCUAUGUUUCUCUCAGCUGUUGUCUAUGUUUCUCUCAGCUGUACUCUAUGCUUCUCUUAGCUGUUCUCUAUGCUUCUCUAAGCUGUUCUCUAUGUUUCUCUCAGCUGUUCUCUAUGCUUCUCUAAGCUGUUCUCUGUGCUUCUCUAAGCUGUUCUCUAUGUUUCUCUCAGCUGUUCUCUAUGUUUCUCUAAGCUGUUCUCUGUGCUUCUCUAAGCUGUUCUCUAUGUUUCUCUCAGCUGUUCUCUAUGCUUCUCUAAGCUGUUCUCUGUGCUUCUCUAAGCUGUUCUCUAUGCUUCUCUAAGCUGUUCUCUAUGCUUCUCUAAGCUGUUCUCUGUGCUUCUCUAAGCUGUUCUCUAUGUUUCUCUUGGCUGUUCUCUAUGCUUCUUUAAGCUGUUCUCUAUGCUUCUCUUAGCAGUUCUCUUCUCUAAGCUGUUCUCUGUGUUUCUCUAAGCUGUUCUCUAUGUUUCUCUUGGCUGUUCUCUAUGCUUCUUUAAGCUGUUCUCUAUGUUUCUCUCAGCUGUUCUCUAUGCUUCUCUAAGCUGUUCUCUAUGCUUCUCUUAGCAGUUCUCUUCUUUAAGCUGUUCUCUAUGCUUCUCUAAGCUGUUCUCUAUGUUUCUCUCAGCUGUUCUCUAUGCUUCUCUAAGCUGUUCUCUGUGCUUCUCUUAGCUGUUCUCUAUGCUUCUCUAAGCUGUUCUCUAUGUUUCUCUCAGCUGUUCUCUAGGUUUCUCUUUGCUGUUCUCUGUGCUUCUCUUAGCGGUUCUCUUCUCCAAGCUGUUCUCUGUGCUUCUCUUAGCAGUUCUCUUCUCUAAGCUCUUCUCUACACUUCUCUAAGCUGUUCUCUGUGUUUCUCUCAGCUGUUCUCUAUGCUUCUCUAAGCUGUUCUCUAUGCUUCUCUUAGCAGUUCUCUUCUCUAAGCUGUUCUCUGUGCUUCUCUUAGCAGUUCUCUUGUCUAAGCUGUUCUCUGUGCUUCUCUCAGCUGUUCUCUAUGCUUCUCUAAGCUGUUCUCUAUGCUUCUCUUCGCAGUUCUCUUCUCUAAGCUGUUCUCUAGGAAUCUCUUAGCUGUUCUCUAUGCUUCUCUAAGCUGUUCUCUAUGCUUCUCUUAGCUGUUCUCUAUGCUUCUCUAAGCUGUUCUCUAUUCUUCUCUUUGCUGUUCUCUAUGCGUCUUUAAGCUUGUUCUCUGUGCUUCUCUAAGCUGUUCUCUA
Oncorhynchus tshawytscha (Chinook salmon) is the source of this 1428-nucleotide long non-coding RNA. NCBI's taxonomy places the organism in Eukaryota, Metazoa, Chordata, Actinopteri, Salmoniformes, Salmonidae. The record is from Ensembl.